GUGAUGGUGUCGGUUGUGAUGAUGUCUUUAGUGAUGAUGUCAGUAGUGACUGUGUCGGUAGUUAUGGUGUCAGUGGUUAAGAUGUCUGUGGUGAUGAUGUCAUCAGUGACUGUGUCCGUAGUUUUGGUGUCCAUAGUGGUGGUGUCAGUAGUUAUGGUGUCGGUAGUGAUUAUGUUGGUAGUGAAGGUGUCGGUGGUGAUGGUGUCGGUAGUGAUGGUGUCGGUAGUGAUGAUGUCGGUAGUGAUGGUGUCGGUAGUGAUGACGCUGGUAGUGAUGGUGUCGGUAGUGAUGAUGCUGGUAGUGAUGAUGCUGGUAGUGAUGGUGUCGGUAGUGAUGAUGCUGGUAGUGAUGGUGUCGGUAGUGAUGGUGUCGGUAGUGAUGAUGCUGGUAGUGAUGGUGUCGGUAGUGAUGAUGCUGGUAGUGAUGAUGCUGGUAGUGAUGAUGCUGGUAGUGAUGGUGUCGGUAGUGAUGGUGUCGGUAGUGAUGGUGUCGGUAGUGAUGAUGCUGGUAUGGAUGGUGUCCGUAGUGAUGAUGUCGGUAGUGAUGGUGUCGGUAGUGAUGGUGUCGGUAGUGAUGAUGCUGGUAGUGAUGCUGGUAGUGAUGGUGUCGGUAGUGAUGGUGUCGGUAGUGAUGAUGCUGGUAGUGAUGAUGCUGGUAGUGAUGAUGCUGGUAGUGAUGGUGUCGGUAGUGAUG
Long non-coding RNA from Ictalurus punctatus (channel catfish), 693 nucleotides. The record is from Ensembl. NCBI's taxonomy places the organism in Eukaryota, Metazoa, Chordata, Actinopteri, Siluriformes, Ictaluridae.